RNAcentral lists this ribosomal RNA (460 nucleotides) under uncultured bacterium. RNAcentral's name for it is "partial 16S ribosomal RNA". It matches the Rfam family "Bacterial small subunit ribosomal RNA", at positions 338 to 795 of the family's 1533-position model. The record is from RNAcentral.
CCUACGGGAGGCAGCAGUGAGGAAUAUUGGUCAAUGGGCGCGAGCCUGAACCAGCCAAGUAGCGUGAAGGAUGACUGCCCUACGGGUUGUAAACUUCUUUUAUAAAGGAAUAAAGUGAGGCACGUGUGCCUUUUUGUAGGUACUUUAUGAAUAAGGAUCGGCUAACUCCGUGCCAGCAGCCGCGGUAAUACGGGGGAUCCGAGCGUUAUCCGGUGUUUUUGGGUUUAAAGGGAGCGUAGAUGGGUUGUUAAGUCAGUUGUGAAAGUUUGCGGCUCAACCGUAAGAUUGCAAUUGAUACUGGCAGGCUUGAGUAGAGUUGAGGUAGGCGGAAUUCGUGGUGUAGCGGUGAAAUGCUUAGAUAUCACGAAGAACUCCGAUUGCGAAGGCAGCCUACUAGACUGACACUGACAUUGAUGCUCGAAAGUGUGGGUAUCAAACAGGAUUAGAUACCCCAGUAGUC